AUUGAACGCUGGCGGCAGGCCUAACACAUGCAAGUCGAGCGGAUGAAGGGAGCUUGCUCCUGGAUUCAGCGGCGGACGGGUGAGUAAUGUCUAGGAAUCUGCCUGGUAGUGGGGGAUAACGUCCGGAAACGGGCGCUAAUACCGCAUACGUCCUGAGGGAGAAAGUGGGGGAUCUUCGGACCUCACGCUAUCAGAUGAGCCUAGGUCGGAUUAGCUAGUUGGUGGGGUAAAGGCCUACCAAGGCGACGAUCCGUAACUGGUCUGAGAGGAUGAUCAGUCACACUGGAACUGAGACACGGUCCAGACUCCUACGGGAGGCAGCAGUGGGGAAUAUUGGACAAUGGGCGAAAGCCUGAUCCAGCCAUGCCGCGUGUGUGAAGAAGGUCUUCGGAUUGUAAAGCACUUUAAGUUGGGAGGAAGGGCAGUAAGUUAAUACCUGGCUGUUUUGACGUUACCAACAGAAUAAGCACCGGCUAACUUCGUG
RNAcentral lists this ribosomal RNA (484 nucleotides) under uncultured bacterium. RNAcentral describes it as "partial 16S ribosomal RNA". It matches the Rfam family "Bacterial small subunit ribosomal RNA", at positions 30 to 507 of the family's 1533-position model. The record is from RNAcentral.